GGACAGUUAAUCAAGUCUCUGAACGGAGUUCAGCAAGCUUUGCACAGGUAUUCCUGGUGUGUCUCAGCGUCAAAGAUGGGGCAGUAUCUACCCUGUGGCGAACAGCCCUGGAUACAGACAUAACAACUGCUUGGGAAGGAGUCUAUGGCAUUUGUAGCUCAAGAAUACCCAAUAGCUUAAAACCACAUGGCCACAUAAACUUCUAAUCUAACACAACUGCAGAGACUGGAAACCACUUAAACCAGUUUUUCCAGGUUUGUGGACGUCGCUUGUCCAUGAAGCGUGGUAGUAGAAUGGCCCUGGAACUGGGGAGGAACACCAAACUACUGGUUAAUGUCUCCUGCAACACUGCUGUCCUAGGAGGAGGAAGUGUAAGAAUACAAAGUUGCCUGGAAGAGACCUUUCCUGAAGUACUGAUUUUGGUUUAGGCUCUGAGACGUGACAAGACCGCAUUCCUAAGACUUUUAAAUGGGUGGGGCGUGCUGCCGUUUGAGAUGAUGGAACCACU
RNAcentral lists this long non-coding RNA (508 nucleotides) under Numida meleagris (helmeted guineafowl). RNAcentral describes it as "lncRNA (ENSNMEG00000018978.1)". Lineage: Eukaryota; Metazoa; Chordata; Aves; Galliformes; Numididae. The record is from RNAcentral.